Molecule: ribosomal RNA, 1259 nt
Filed under: metagenome
Description: bacterial LSU rRNA
Rfam family: Bacterial large subunit ribosomal RNA
Source: RNAcentral
UGCCUGUACCAUAACCGACACAGGUGGGUAAGUAGAGUAUACUAAGGGGCGCGAGAUAACUCUCUCUAAGGAACUCGGCAAAAUAACUCCGUAACUUCGGGAGAAGGAGUGCCUUAUUCUUAAGGUUGCAAUAACAAGAUCCAAGCAACUGUUUAUCAAAAACACAGGUCUCCGCUAAGUCGUAAGACGAUGUAUGGGGGCUGACGCCUGCCCAGUGCCAGAAGGUUAAAGAAGUCGGUUAGCAAUAGCAAAGCUGGUAACUGAAGCCCUGGUGAACGGCGGCCGUAACGAUAACGGUCCUAAGGUAGCGAAAUUCCUUGUCGGGUAAGUUCCGACCCGCACGAAAGGCGUAAUGAUUUGGAUGCUGUCUCGGAGAGGGGCUCGGUGAAAUAGACUUGUCUGUGAAGAUGCGGACUACCUGCACCAGGACAGAAAGACCCUAUGAAGCUUUACUGUAACUUGAAAUUGAAAUUGGACUUUAUUCGCGCAGUAUAGGUGGGAGGCGUUGAUUAUAAUCUUGUGGGAUUAUUGGAGCCAUCAGUGAGAUACCACUCUUGUAAUGUUAGAUUUCUAACUUUGAAUCAUUAUCUGGUCAAAGGACAGUUUCAGGCGGGCAGUUUGACUGGGGCGGUCGCCUCCUAAACGGUAACGGAGGCGUACAAAGGUUUCCUCUGAACGGUUAGAAAUCGUAUCUAGAGUGUAAAGGCAUAAGGAAGCUUGACUGUGAGACCUACAAGUCGAGCAGGGACGAAAGUCGGUCUUAGUGAUCUGACGGUACUGAGUGGAAAGGCCGUCACUCAACGGAUAAAAGUUACUCUAGGAUAACAGGCUGAUCUCCCCCAAGAGUUCACAUCGACGGGGAGGUUUGGCACCUCGAUGUCGGCUCAUCGCAUCCUGGGGCGGUAGUACGUCCCAAGGGUUGGGCUGUUCGCCCAUGAAAGCGGUACGCGAGCUGGGUUCAGAACGUCGUGAGACAGUUCGGUCCAUAUCCGGUGUAGGCGCUAGAAUAUUGAGAGGAGCCUUCUUUAGUACGAGAGGACCGAGAAGGACAUACCUCUGGUGUACCAGUUAUCGUGCCAACGGUAAACGCUGGGUAGCUAUGUAUGGAGUGGAUAACCGCUGAAAGCAUCUAAGUGGGAAGCCCACCUCAAGAUAAGUAUUCUCAUCACGUAAGUGAGUAAGGUCACGGUAAGACUAACCGUUUGAUAGGCAUUAAGUGUAAGUACAGUAAUGUAUGUGCUGAGAUGUCCUAAUAGACC